This 536-nucleotide ribosomal RNA is filed under the name uncultured bacterium. Its description in RNAcentral is "partial 16S ribosomal RNA". It matches the Rfam family "Bacterial small subunit ribosomal RNA", at positions 355 to 895 of the family's 1533-position model. The record is from RNAcentral.
UGGGGAAUAUUGCACGAUGGGCGCAAGCCUGAUGCAGCAACGCCGCGUGAGGGAUGACGGCCUUCGGGUUGUAAACCUCUUUUAGUAGGGAAGAAGCGAAAGUGACGGUACCUGCAGAAAAAAGCACCGGCUAACUACGUGCCAGCAGCCGCGGUAAUACGUAGGGUGCGAGCGUUGUCCGGAAUUAUUGGGCGUAAAGAGCUCGUAGGCGGUCUGUCGCGUCUGCUGUGAAAACCCCGAGGCUCAACCUCGGGGCCUGCAGUGGGUACGGGGCAGACUAGAGUGCGGUAGGGGAGAAUGGAAUUCCUGGUGUAGCGGUGGAAUGCGCAGAUAUCAGGAGGAACACCGAUGGCGAAGGCAGUUCUCUGGGCCGUAACUGACGCUGAGGAGCGAAAAGCGUGGGGAGCGAAACAGGAUUAGAUACCCUGGUAGUCCACGCCGUAAACGUUGGGCGCUAGAUGUGGGGACCAUUCCACGGUUUCCGUGUCGCAGCUAACGCAUUAAGCGCCCCGCCUGGGGAGUACGGCCGCAAGGCU